UGCCCAGCAACUCAUAUCCCUACCUACUCGCGGUACUGGCAGGGGUACGUGCAAUUUUAGGGAAGG
This 66-nucleotide ribozyme is filed under the name Aedes aegypti (yellow fever mosquito). Its description in RNAcentral is "drz-agam-1 ribozyme". It matches the Rfam family "drz-agam-1 ribozyme". The record is from Rfam by way of RNAcentral. Lineage: Eukaryota; Metazoa; Arthropoda; Insecta; Diptera; Culicidae.